RNAcentral lists this long non-coding RNA (1421 nucleotides) under Setaria italica (foxtail millet). Its description in RNAcentral is "long non-coding RNA (SITA_LNC002947)". The record is from RNAcentral. Lineage: Eukaryota; Viridiplantae; Streptophyta; Magnoliopsida; Poales; Poaceae.
CUUGAUGGAUCCAGACUACGGAAACCACAACACAAAGAGAAGAAACUAACGGGGAAGUUUAAACGAACAAGCCUACCAAAAUCAAGGCAAGGCAUCAUCUAACUUUUUCCCCUCAGGUAUUGCCAAUUCUUGUCUUUGUUUAUCCCAUCCUCAUCUCCACCUAUUUACAGCUUCAGUCAUUCUUUGUGUGCUCAGCAUUCUCAUUGUUAUUUGCCAAUGCAGCAGCGCCACGCUGAACCAUUUGCAAUUGGAUUUGCAACAUCUGUGAAGAAGAGGUAUAACUUAUGAGUUCUGUUGGAUACAGAUUCAUAAUAUCAACGAAAGAAAGCUCUUAAGCAUGUCACUGAAAAAUAUGGUGAAAGCAAUACCAAUUAUCGUUCAUGCAUGAAUGCAACAACAGGCUGGUAACAUCUAGCAGCUAAGUGCUAAUUACCAGAGAAGCAUUUGCAUCUUGAGAAAAAUUGCAGAUUACGUAACGUGGUACCAAAGCUGACGACUAAACUGUUCAAAGCUGUGCACGUGCAGUCUACAGUAAAAUGCAGAUCAUAGAUCAUGAGCUCGUUCGCUUGGCUGCUGCGUUCGGCUUCUGGCUGCUGCGGCAGAGAGCCGAGCAGCAGCAGCCAGCCGAACGAGGCCCAUAAUUGUUAAAAGGGCUACUAAAGGUACUUGCAUGCUACGUACUAUUUUAUAGGAAUCAACAAACUAAUUUGCAUUAUUAUAAAUUGCAUAUUUGCAUGACACCCUCACAAGCAGACUGCUACAUAUCAAUAAUACUAGUAGCUUAUGUUAACGUAGGCAAGAAGUGUUAAAAACAUCACAGAGAACAGCUAGUGCAACCAACUCAUCUUCAUGUGCAAUAAUGCAAACUAUCAUGUGAAAUCGGUAGAUAGAUAGAUGCGAGUUGAUGGACAUUGUAGAUUCAUAAGGCACGUGCAGGAGUAGCCCUCACUAACGUUUUUCAAAUAACCAAUUGUGUGAUUCAGAAGCUGUCCAUCCAUGUCACAUAAGUUACCAUGAAUCUAAUAUAUCCAACUUAUCCAAUGGUACAUAUGGAAGCACCUUAUAGCUACAAUAUGUCAAACAGAAAUAUCCACGAUAUUGCAACUUGCAAGCAGUCAAUGUACACCUAUCUAGCACCUUAUAGCUCAUACACAUCACUUGUUGGUUGCAUCACGAAGUGAUGCAGAAAUAUGUAAGUGGAGUGCUUUUGGAAUCAAGAUUCUUUCUUACCUCUAUCUGGCUCUUUAUAAAGUUUUCUUGUGCCUUCUGCAGUGAAUUUUCAAGAUCCCUGGUGCUUGCUCCUGAACCAAUCGCACCAUGUGCAUUAAAAGGCAGAGGUGCUAAACCAUUGCUGGUGUUUUGGAACUGCAGUUCUUGGUCUUUCUGAGACUGAUUGGAGCUACUUGCUUCAGCUUGUGGUG